Molecule: ribosomal RNA, 497 nt
Filed under: uncultured bacterium
Lineage: Bacteria
Description: partial 16S ribosomal RNA
Rfam family: Bacterial small subunit ribosomal RNA
Source: RNAcentral
GAUGAACGCUGGCGGCGUGCCUAAUACAUGCAAGUCGAGCGAACGGACGAUAAGCUUGCUUUUCUGAUGUUAGCGGCGGACGGGUGAGUAACGCGUGGAUAACCUACCUAUAAGACUGGUGUAACUUCGGGAAACCGGAGCUAAUACCGGAUAAUAUUUUGAACCAUAUGGUUCAAUAGUGAAAGACGGUCUUGCUGUCACUUAUAGAUGUAUCCGCGCUGCAUUAGCUAGUUGGUAAGGUAACGGCUUACCAAGGCAACGAUGCGUAGCCGACUUGAGAGGGUGAUCGGCCACAUUGGGACUGAGACACGGUCCAGACUCCUACGGGAGGCAGCAGUAGGGAAUCUUCCGCAAUGGGCGAAAGCCUGACGGAGCAACGCCGCGUGAGUGAUGAAGGUCUUCGGAUCGUAAAACCCUGUUAUUAGGGAAGAACAUAUGUGUAAGUAACUGUGCACAUCUUGACGGUACCUAAUCAGAAAGCCACGGCUAACUACGUG